Molecule: long non-coding RNA, 973 nt
Organism: Heterocephalus glaber (naked mole-rat)
Lineage: Eukaryota; Metazoa; Chordata; Mammalia; Rodentia; Bathyergidae
Source: Ensembl
CAGUACAGCUUAACUCUCAUAAGAAGGAUGGUUCUGCCACAGGCACGAUUCCUUCCACAGUGGUAGCUUUCUCUGACUACAUCUCAUGACCAGCAGACCACAGCAGCAUCCUCCACUUUGAAAAGGAUGAAACUGAGAAGACCUGCCGGGCCCUCAGCUUCGAUGACUCUUUUUAUGAAGAGGAGGAAUAUUUUCACGUGUCCCUGAGCCUGCCAGUGGGAGGACAGCUGGGAGCCAAAUUCCCACCACCAAGGUAAUCAUCCUGGCUGAUCAUGAAGAUGGAAGGAAAGAAAGAGCAAGCACAAAGAAGUUACAUAAGACUUGGAAAGAAGCCAAGAAAAGGACCUGAGUCAAGUUUCCAGAUUCCCAACCAGGACCACUGCACAAGGACUUUUAUCUUGGCAGCACAGGGAUCCUCUCUGAAAACAGUCAGUAGAUGCAUCUUCAACUGGCACAGAUGAGCCAGGCAUGGUGGCACAUGCCUGCAACUUUUGAAAGAAAAUAGUAAUAAAGACAAGACCAGAAUCAGACUAUAUUACUAGUCUCCUAUUGGACUGAUUGCUUCAUCUCUCAACCACGCUUUUGUCAGGACUAGACAGGCUAUGAGUUGCUGUGCUCAGAUCGAGGCAGCAUUAGACUGGCUUGCUAGUCUUAACCCAAAAUUAAUGCAACUACUUUAUGGAUCCAGCAUAGAACUUCCAUAAAACUGAGAGCUCUGUCAAGAGAUAAGCAGAUGGAGUCAAGUUUGAGCAGUAUAUAUGCUCUCAAGGUGCAUGGGGUAAAUUUAUCAUGUAUUAUAAUGUUUUGUUUGAAAUUGUGUCUUUAAAACAACCAUAGAACAAGGGAAAAUAUGAGUAAGGUCAAAAGUGGUUUUUCAUUUGUUUAUUUUUGGCCUGAAUGGCUUUGCUUGGUGAUAAUGUACCCUACACCCUAUGUACCAGACCUUAGAAAUAGGUAGUAGACCAUUAAAAAG